RNAcentral lists this ribosomal RNA (246 nucleotides) under uncultured bacterium. Its description in RNAcentral is "partial 16S ribosomal RNA". It matches the Rfam family "Bacterial small subunit ribosomal RNA", at positions 1254 to 1500 of the family's 1533-position model. The record is from RNAcentral.
GUCGUGAGGCGGAGCAAAACACAAAACACAGUCUCAGUUCAGAUUGUAGGCUGAAACUCGCCUAUAUGAAGUCGGAAUUGCUAGUAAUCGCGGAUCAGCAUGCCGCGGUGAAUACGUUCCCGGGCCUUGUACACACCGCCCGUCACACCAUGAGAGUCGAUAACACCCGAAGCCUGUAGUCUAACAGCAAUGAGGACGCAGUCGAAGGUGGGAUUGAUAAUUAGGGUGAAGUCGUAACAAGGUAGC